Molecule: ribosomal RNA, 380 nt
Filed under: uncultured bacterium
Lineage: Bacteria
Description: bacterial SSU rRNA
Rfam family: Bacterial small subunit ribosomal RNA
Source: RNAcentral
AACGAACGCUGGCGGCAUGCCUAACACAUGCAAGUCGAACGAGACCUUCGGGUCUAGUGGCGCACGGGUGCGUAACGCGUGGGAAUCUGCCCUUAGGUUCGGGAAUAAACUUCGGGAAACUGAAGCUAAUACCGGAUGAUGACGUAAGUCCAAAGAUUAUCGCCUAAGGAUGAGCCCGCGUUGGAUUAGCUAAGUUGGUGAGGUAAAGGCUCACCAAGGCGACGAUCCAUAGCUGGUCUGAGAGGAUGAUCAGCCACACUGGGACUGAGACACGGCCCAGACUCCUACGGGAGGCAGCAGUGGGGAAUAUUGGACAAUAGGGCGAAAGCCUGAUCCAGCAUGCCGCGUGUGUGAAGAAGGUACUUCGGAUUGUAAAGUCA